UAGGGAAUCUUCGGCAAUGGACGAAAGUCUGACCGAGCAACGCCGCGUGAGUGAAGAAGGUUUUCGGAUCGUAAAACUCUGUUGUUAGAGAAGAACAAGGACGUUAGUAACUGAACGUCCCCUGACGGUAUCUAACCAGAAAGCCACGGCUAACUACGUGCCAGCAGCCGCGGUAAUACGUAGGUGGCAAGCGUUGUCCGGAUUUAUUGGGCGUAAAGCGAGCGCAGGCGGUUUCUUAAGUUUGAUGUGAAAGCCCCCGGCUCAACCGGGGAGGGUCAUUGGAAACUGGGAGACUUGAGUGCAGAAGAGGAGAGUGGAAUUCCAUGUGUAGCAGUGAAAUGCGUAGAUAUAUGGAGGAACACCAGUGGCGAAGGCGGCUCUCUGGUCUGUAACUGACGCUGAGGCUCGAAAGCGUGGGGAGCAAACAGG
This 429-nucleotide ribosomal RNA is filed under the name Gemmatimonadota bacterium. RNAcentral describes it as "Gemmatimonadetes bacterium partial 16S ribosomal RNA". It matches the Rfam family "Bacterial small subunit ribosomal RNA", at positions 355 to 776 of the family's 1533-position model. The record is from RNAcentral. Lineage: Bacteria; Pseudomonadati; Gemmatimonadota.